AUGUUCAACAGUGUCAAAGGCUUUAGCAAAAUCAAGCUUGAGGAUGAGAAUUGGUCUCUUAGAUUGAUGACACUAAUGAAUAUAUUCCAAAAUCCAUGCAAUGCAGUCUUGAAUGGACCCGGAAUUAAGAAAACCAUAUUGAUUCUUAUGGAUGCAUUUAAGAAUAAAUUUUUGCAACCUAUUUGCCUGGAGUUUAGUGAGGAACUUGAGGCAAGUGUUUGUGAGAGAGAUUGGCCUAUAAUCAUUUGGCCCCUUAGGAGAUAUAAUUUUUGGGAUGAGUGUGACCAAGGACCCAUUUAUACUCUGGAGGGUAAUUCUUCCUUCAUAGAAGUCAGUAAUUAA
Molecule: ribosomal RNA, 342 nt
Filed under: Triticum aestivum (bread wheat)
Lineage: Eukaryota; Viridiplantae; Streptophyta; Magnoliopsida; Poales; Poaceae
Description: partial small subunit ribosomal RNA
Source: RNAcentral